AGCGACAGAUCUUCAUUGGACAAAUGAUAUGGGAUCGGUAGAUGAAAGACUUAGAAUAAAAUCACCGUCGACUCUGCUGCAUCACAGAUGGUGCCUUCUAUCAAUUUAAACUGGCUUCUUCAAAUGAUUCAAAAAUCGGCUUGCAAAUGAUCUGUUCAUCAGUUUCGUUGAUCUCCUCCAUGAACUGAUGAUGCAUCUCUUCUCGAUUACGAGCUCUGCAGAAUUUGAGUACCAAGUGUUUGAUAAUGCACUACUCUUUCUCGUAUAACGCCUUCCCUUUCGAGCGUCUACAGCAUUGCCGACGAAGAAUCAGAAUUAGGGCAAUCGUCAGAGAAACUCAAGACGCGUGAUCUGCAGUGAGAGCAAAUCGAAUGGUCACGGAAUCAGGCGCCAAUUCAAUAACUAUGAAACGAAUGAUUGCAAUUCGGAAGCAAACGAAUCGUCGAGGCCUUCAAUCCAUGGCUAUGGAUUGGCGGAGAAGGAUUGUUAGGUUUUUUCCACAAAUUGGACCUAGGCCGAUCGGAAAUCAAACCAUAAAGGACAAGGUAACGUCGUUUCAAUUUUCUCUAGGUGUUCAACAGUUGAAAGACGAGAUAUACGGUGGCGAGCAUCGAAAUUGACCACGGACUCCAGCUAGAGUAAUCAGGCGCCGGAAUUGGUGGCGGUGAACUCGAUGCGUAAGACUACAAACUCGUAGAUGAAACGAAAGCACUUGAAGAAUCUGAGUGUUAACAUUUGGAGCCAUCAGAAAGGCACUGUUGAAGCUAAACAUGGAAGAAGCUGAACAAAUUUGAGAAGAUCCACGAAACAUUUCAGUGUGUAAAAGAGAAUGCAGUGGCUUUGGGGAAGGGCUACUGGGUUUUGAAGGAAGGUUUUGAUUGAUGUUCUUAGUGUUGCAGCCAUUCACUAGAAGAGAGGGAAUCUUAAAGGCUUGCAAUGGCGGAGGAUUACGCCAUUGGGGAAGCGGUCCAGCAACCAGAAGCGUCUGAAGUAAAGGUCCUGCUUCUGUAACAGCUUGCAGAAGCUUGCCUUUCUGAGGUAACGCUUUUCCCUUUACAAGAUUAUCAAUCACUGCAGAAAAUGGAUCGGGCUUUUCUGUUUUGGGAGUGUCCACGCCUGUGGCCAGAGGCUGCGGGGCAUUAUACUCCGUGACAUAUGGCUGAUUUACAAAGCUCAUUUUGCAUGAAUCAGCCAUGUUUGCAGUAGAGAAAUCUGGUGAUGAAACUCCAUCAAAGAAAGAAUCUGCAGGUGAAGAACCAUAAGAUUGGUGAUUAUAAGUUUCAUAGAGACUGUUUGAUUCUGUGAUGCUUGAAUUUGCUUUGGUGGGUAUGUUGAGAGGGCUUUCAGGUUGGAAAAGAAGCAGGGCUGGUAAUUCAGUUGCAGUAGUACUUGGCACAAAUUUGCUCAUCAGUUUCUGCAGCUGAUCUCUUGCUUCGUCUCUUUCUUCAUAUGCUGCCUGCAGGAGAAGAAAUAUGUUCAUUGGAAAGGGCUUCUGUAGAAACUCGUUGCUAGAGGUUAUAUCAACGCCAAAAUUUACCAUAUUCAUCAAAAGCUCUUACCAAAAUUUACCAAAUAACCCAGAAACAAUGUCAAAACCGCCACAAUAUCGCCUCCUUCAAUCCAAUCGCACCACCUCCAGCGACUAUGUUUUUACGACGAAAGUUACCUAGGUUACAGCAGUGAACGUGAAAGCCAGCGGCAAUGAGCGGUAAGCCCUUAAAGUUGGCAGAGGCAGAGUGUGAAAGAAUUGGAAUCUUUGAGCAAAUGGGAUUGAAAACGGCGGCUGAAAAGUAAAGGGAUAGGGAUUUUUCAAAGCAACACCGUUAACAGUGUCGAGAGAGUUACCUUCUCCUCAUGCGCCACCUAAACGGCGGAGAAAAAAGUGACGAUCCUUCUCGCCUGACAAUAGUAUCGCUAUGUCGGGAGAAGGGGGCGAUGACGAUGAGAGAAAAUGAAUUGAGACUAACUACUUU
This is a long non-coding RNA of Cucurbita maxima (winter squash), 1973 nucleotides long. RefSeq lists it as uncharacterized. The record is from RefSeq and is a predicted model, not a curated record. NCBI's taxonomy places the organism in Eukaryota, Viridiplantae, Streptophyta, Magnoliopsida, Cucurbitales, Cucurbitaceae. The transcript has 4 exons.